AGUGAACGCUGGCGGUAGGCCUAACACAUGCAAGUCGAACGGCAGCACAGUAAGAGCUUGCUCUUACGGGUGGCGAGUGGCGGACGGGUGAGGAAUACAUCGGAAUCUACUUUUUCGUGGGGGAUAACGUAGGGAAACUUACGCUAAUACCGCAUACGACCUACGGGUGAAAGCAGGGGAUCUUCGGACCUUGCGCGAUUGAAUGAGCCGAUGUCGGAUUAGCUAGUUGGCGGGGUAAAGGCCCACCAAGGCGACGAUCCGUAGCUGGUCUGAGAGGAUGAUCAGCCGCACUGGAACUGAGACACGGCCCAGACUCCUACGAGAGGCAGCAGUGGGGAAUAUUGGACAAUGGGCGCAAGCCUGAUCCAGCCAUACCGCGUGGGUGAAGAAAGCCUUCGGGUUGUAAAGCCCUUUUGUUGGGAGAGAAAAGCAGCAGGUUAAUACCCCGCUGUUCUGACGGUACCCAAAGAAUAAGCACCGGCUAACUACGUG
RNAcentral lists this ribosomal RNA (492 nucleotides) under uncultured bacterium. RNAcentral's name for it is "partial 16S ribosomal RNA". It matches the Rfam family "Bacterial small subunit ribosomal RNA", at positions 29 to 507 of the family's 1533-position model. The record is from RNAcentral.